RNAcentral lists this long non-coding RNA (607 nucleotides) under Nicotiana tabacum (common tobacco). Its description in RNAcentral is "long non-coding RNA (NTAB_LNC008201)". Lineage: Eukaryota; Viridiplantae; Streptophyta; Magnoliopsida; Solanales; Solanaceae. The record is from RNAcentral.
CUGUCUCCCUCUCAACUCUCUCUCUAUCUAUCGGCUCUAGCAUCUGUAAAUGAAUUCUUCAAGAAGCAACAUUUCUUCUCCAUGACCACGUUCCUGUAAAAUUCUCAGCCUCAGGUAUCUAACUAUUCUCUCCUUGCUCUGUAUUUUAAUUCUCUCGCUGCAGCUUUAUUGAAUAACUUGCUCAAAUCCAAACACAAUUAAAGUGUCAAAUAUACAUGUACAGAACUACAAAUGCCUAAUUUUUGUGCUAUAACUUCUUCAUCUGUUGACUGACAUGCUUUAAUAUGAUUGAUUUAAAUAUAACAAUUUAUUUGAAUUAAGAUAGAUUAAAUAGAAGUAUGAAUAUUUAAUUUUGUAGGAACGAUCCAUAAAAUUAAAAUGAAUAGAUUUUUCACCAAGCCGAAAAAUAAUACACCCAUAUUCUUAAAAUUCUGGAUAUUCCUCUGCGGUUGAGGCAGGAAUAGGCAACUUCCGAGCAGAGUCUGCGAAGUUCAAGCAAACACAGAACGGCCCGUUAAUGCAAUAGCCGCCACGUCAUGCGCUCUAGCCGCCAUUUCUGCAGAAGGGAAAGUGCCAAGCCAUAUUCUUGAUUUCUUGUUUGGUUCUC